RNAcentral lists this ribosomal RNA (251 nucleotides) under Bacillus sp. 90_3T. RNAcentral describes it as "partial 16S ribosomal RNA". It matches the Rfam family "Bacterial small subunit ribosomal RNA", at positions 112 to 356 of the family's 1533-position model. Lineage: Bacteria; Bacillati; Bacillota; Bacilli; Caryophanales; Bacillaceae. The record is from RNAcentral.
AACACGUGGGUAACCUGCCUGUAAGACUGGGAUAACUCCGGGAAACCGGGGCUAAUACCGGAUACUUGUUUGAACCGCAUGGUUCAAACAUAAAAGGUGGCUUCGGCUACCACUUACAGAUGGACCCGCGGCGCAUUAGCUAGUUGGUGAGGUAAUGGCUCACCAAGGCAACGAUGCGUAGCCGACCUGAGAGGGUGAUCGGCCACACUGGGACUGAGACACGGCCCAGACUCCUACGGGAGGCAGCAGUG